AGCUCUGCUAGCGUAUAUUAAAGUUGUUGCAGUUAAAAAGCUCGUAGUUGAAUUUCUGGUAGGAGUGAUCGGUCCAUCACAAUGUGUUGGUACCUGGUUGUCUCCGGCCAUCCUUGGAAAGAACCUUCAUGGCAUUAGGUUGUCGAGUUGGUAAUUUCCAUCGUUUACUGUGAAAAAAUUAGAGUGUUCAAAGCAGGCUUAUGCCAUUGAAUAUAUUAGCAUGGAAUAAUAAGAUAGGACCUUGGUACUAUUUUGUUGGUUUGCGCAUCAGGGUAAUGAUAAAUAGGGACAGUUGGGGGUAUUUGUAUUCAAUUGUCAGAGGUGAAAUUCUUGGAUUUAUGGAAGACAAACGACUGCGAAAGCAUUUACCAAGGAUGUUUUCAUUAAUCAAGAACGAAAG
RNAcentral lists this ribosomal RNA (400 nucleotides) under phytoplankton environmental sample. RNAcentral describes it as "partial small subunit ribosomal RNA". It matches the Rfam family "Eukaryotic small subunit ribosomal RNA", at positions 587 to 989 of the family's 1831-position model. The record is from RNAcentral.